Molecule: ribosomal RNA, 1386 nt
Filed under: uncultured bacterium
Lineage: Bacteria
Description: 16S ribosomal RNA
Rfam family: Bacterial small subunit ribosomal RNA
Source: RNAcentral
UUCGCCCUUAGAGUUUGAUCCUGGCUCAGGAUGAACGCUGGCGGCGUGCUUAACACAUGCAAGUCGAACGAAACACCUUAUUUGAUUUUCUUCGGAACUGAAGAUUUGGUGAUUGAGUGGCGGACGGGUGAGUAACGCGUGGGUAACCUACCCUGUACAGGGGGAUAACAGUCAGAAAUGACUGCUAAUACCGCAUAAGACCACAGCACCGCAUGGUGCAGGGGUAAAAACUCCGGUGGUACAGGAUGGACCCGCGUCUGAUUAGCUGGUUGGUGAGGUAACGGCUCACCAAGGCGACGAUCAGUAGCCGGCUUGAGAGAGUGAACGGCCACAUUGGGACCGAGACACGGCCCAAACUCCUACGGGAGGCAGCAGUGGGGAAUAUUGCACAAUGGGGGAAACCCUGAUGCAGCGACGCCGCGUGAGCGAUGAAGUAUUUCGGUAUGUAAAGCUCUAUCAGCAGGGAAGAUAAUGACGGUACCUGACUAAGAAGCCCCGGCUAACUACGUGCCAGCAGCCGCGGUAAUACGUAGGGGGCAAGCGUUAUCCGGAUUUACUGGGUGUAAAGGGAGCGUAGACGGCAAGGCAAGUCUGAUGUGAAAACCCAGGGCUUAACCCUGGGACUGCAUUGGAAACUGUCUGGCUCGAGUGCGGUAGAGGAAGGUGGAAUUCCCAGUGUAGCGGUGAAAUGCGCAGAUAUUGGGAAGAACACCGAUGGCGAAGGCAGCCUUCUGGGCCGCCACUGACGCUGAGGCGCGAAAGCUAGGGGAGCGAACAGGAUUAGAUACCCUGGUAGUCCUAGCCGUAAACGAUGGGCACUAGGGGGGGGGGGGGCUGACCCCCUCCGUGCCGCAGCAAACACAAUAAGAAAACCACUUGGGGAAUAGGACCACAAGGUUAAAACUCAAAGGAAUUGACGGGGGCCCGCACAAGCAGUGGAGUAAGGGGUUUAAUUCGACGAAAACGCGAAGAACCUUACCAAGUCUUGACAUCAUGAGAUGCACAUAGAAAUAUGUGUUUCCUUCGGGACGCAGAGACAGGUGGUGCAUGGUUGUCAUCAGCUCGUGUCGUGAGAUGUUGGGUUAAGUCCCGCAACGAGCGCAACCCUUACUGUCAGUUACUACGCAAGAGGACUCUGGCAGGACUGCCGUUGACAAAACGGAGGAAGGUGGGGAUGACGUCAAAUCAUCAUGCCCUUUAUGACUUGGGCUACACACGUACUACAAUGGCGUUAAACAAAGAGAAGCAAGACCGCGAGGUGGAGCAAAACUCAGAAACAACGUCCCAGUUCGGACUGCAGGCUGCAACUCGCCUGCACGAAGUCGGAAUUGCUAGUAAUCGUGGAUCAGCAUGCCACGGUGAAUACGUUCCCGGGCCUUGUACACA